GCUGGGCGUGGUGGUGUGCACCUGUAAUCCCAGCUACUUGGGAGGCUGAGGUAGGAGAAUCGCUUGAACCCAGGAGACAUAGGUUGCAGUGAGCCGAGAUUGUUCCACUGCACUCCAGCCUGGGUGACAGAGCGAGAUUCCAUCUCAG
Molecule: signal recognition particle RNA, 148 nt
Filed under: Nomascus leucogenys (northern white-cheeked gibbon)
Lineage: Eukaryota; Metazoa; Chordata; Mammalia; Primates; Hylobatidae
Description: Metazoan signal recognition particle RNA
Rfam family: Metazoan signal recognition particle RNA
About the family: The signal recognition particle (SRP) is a universally conserved ribonucleoprotein. It is involved in the co-translational targeting of proteins to membranes.
Source: Rfam by way of RNAcentral